AGUUUUAAUUUGCUCCACCAAAUAAUGAUGAAUAGAUUGAAAAUGAAUAAAUGUGCUGUCACUGCCAAAGAGUAGGGGCGAGCACUAUUUGGUUUGAACCAAAUAAACUGAACCGAACCGUCAUAAUUUAGUUCAGCUUUUAUGGUGAUUUGGUUAGGUUCAGUUUGGUUCGAUUUUAGAGUCAAAAAAUUCAGCUAAACCGAACCAAACCAAAUUCCCCAAAACACACCAUUUUGCAAUUUUUAUUCCCUCAUAUACUCUCUCACUCUCAGUUUUUAGUCUCAAGUCUCACAUUCACCCUUCACUGUGCCAUUCUCUCUUUCACUCUCACCUACCACUCGCGGCAUACCCAUCUUGUUCUCCUUUUGUUCAAGCCUUCCCCAGCCAGCCAACACUCUAAAGUCUCGUCGUCGUCAUUGGUCCUUGCCGUCUCCACAUCGCCAGCUCUGUUGAUUGAGGUUUGAACUCAAUUUAUUCCCCAAAGACCCACUGACUCUUCUCAUUAUCAUGCAUCUAGGUCUCCCUUUGAAAACUUAACCCAAAAAACUCAAUGCUCCUAACACCUGGGUCUUGCAUGAUGUCGUUCAGCACUCACCGUGAUGCUGCUUUAGUCUAGAGGUGACUCAAUCGACCUCCUCUUGUUUUUCAUCUCAGAUUCUAAGUAUUUGAUUUCAUUCUCUUCCUAAUUCCAGUUUGUAUUU
RNAcentral lists this unclassified non-coding RNA (701 nucleotides) under Hevea brasiliensis (rubber tree). The record is from RNAcentral. Lineage: Eukaryota; Viridiplantae; Streptophyta; Magnoliopsida; Malpighiales; Euphorbiaceae.